This 580-nucleotide ribosomal RNA is filed under the name uncultured bacterium. RNAcentral describes it as "bacterial SSU rRNA". It matches the Rfam family "Bacterial small subunit ribosomal RNA", at positions 338 to 916 of the family's 1533-position model. The record is from RNAcentral.
CCUACGGGAGGCAGCAGUGGGGAAUAUUGGUCAAUGGGCGAAAGCCUGAACCAGCAAUGCCGCGUGAGUGAUGAAGGCCUUCGGGUUGUAAAGCUCUGUCAGGGGGAACGAAAAAGUCGUCUAACUAACGAUAUUGACGGUACCCUCAAAGGAAGCACCGGCUAACUCUGUGCCAGCAGCCGCGGUAAUACAGAGGGUGCAAGCGUUGUUCGGAAUUACUGGGCGUAAAGCGCGUGUAGGCGGUUUGGUAAGUCAGACGUGAAAUCCCUCGGCUCAACUGAGGAACUGCGUCUGAUACUGCUAGACUAGAGUGUCGGAGGGGAUGGUGGAAUUCCCGGUGUAGAGGUGAAAUUCGUAGAGAUCGGGAGGAACACCUGUGGCGAAGGCGACCAUCUGGAAGACAACUGACGCUGAGACGCGAAAGCGUGGGUAGCAAACAGGAUUAGAUACCCUGGUAGUCCACGCCGUAAACGAUGAGUGCUAGGUGUUGUGGGUAUUGACCCCCGCAGUGCCAAAGCUAACGCGUUAAGCACUCCGCCUGGGGAGUACGGUCGCAGAUUAAAACUUAAGGAAUUGACGG